Molecule: ribosomal RNA, 484 nt
Filed under: uncultured bacterium
Lineage: Bacteria
Description: partial 16S ribosomal RNA
Rfam family: Bacterial small subunit ribosomal RNA
Source: RNAcentral
AUUGAACGCUGGCGGCAGGCCUAACACAUGCAAGUCGAGCGGAUGAAGGGAGCUUGCUCCUGGAUUCAGCGGCGGACGGGUGAGUAAUGCCUAGGAAUCUGCCUGGUCGUGGGGGAUAACGUCCGGAAACGGGCGCUAAUACCGCAUACGUCCUGAGGGAGAAAGUGGGGGAUCUUCGGACCUCACGCUAUCAGAUGAGCCUAGGUCGGAUUAGCUAGUUGGUGGGGUAAAGGCCUACCAAGGCGACGAUCCGUAACUGGUCUGUGAGGAUGAUCAGUCACACUGGGACUGAGACACGGUCCAGACUCCUACGGGAGGCAGCAGUGGGGAAUAUUGGACAAUGGGCGAAAGCCUGAUCCAGCCAUGCCGCGUGUGUGAAGAAGGUCUUCGGAUUGUAAAGCACUUUAAGUUGGGAGGAAGGGCAGUAAGUUAAUACCUUGCUGUUUUGACGUUACCAACAGAAUAAGCACCGGCUAACUUCGUG